CCUACGGGAGGCAGCAGUGGGGAAUUUUGGACAAUGGGCGCAAGCCUGAUCCAGCAAUGCCGCGUGCAGGAUGAAGGCCUUCGGGUUGUAAACUGCUUUUGUACGGAACGAAACGGCGAGCUCUAAUAAAGUUCGCUAAUGACGGUACCGUAAGAAUAAGCACCGGCUAACUACGUGCCAGCAGCCGCGGUAAUACGUAGGGUGCAAGCGUUAAUCGGAAUUACUGGGCGUAAAGCGUGCGCAGGCGGUGAUGUAAGACAGAUGUGAAAUCCCCGGGCUCAACCUGGGACCUGCAUUUGUGACUGCAUCGCUAGAGUACGGUAGAGGGGGGAUGGAAUUCCGCGUGUAGCAGUGAAAUGCGUAGAUAUGCGGAGGAACACCGAUGGCGAAGGCAAAUCCCCUGGACCUGUACUGACGCUCAUGCACGAAAGCGUGGGGAGCAAACAGGAUUAGAUACCCUGGUAGUCCACGCCCUAAACGAUAGUCAACUGGUUGUUGGGUCUUCACUGACUCAGUAACGAAGCUAAACGCGUGAAGUUGACCGCCUGGGGAGGUACGGCCGGCAAGGUUGAAAACGUACAAAUAGAAAUUAGACGG
This 597-nucleotide ribosomal RNA is filed under the name uncultured bacterium. RNAcentral's name for it is "bacterial SSU rRNA". It matches the Rfam family "Bacterial small subunit ribosomal RNA", at positions 338 to 916 of the family's 1533-position model. The record is from RNAcentral.